CCAUAGCUCAGUUGGUAGAGCAAAGGACUGAAAAUCCUUGUGUCCCCGGUUCGAUUCCUGGUGG
Molecule: transfer RNA, 64 nt
Filed under: Porphyromonas gingivalis
Lineage: Bacteria; Pseudomonadati; Bacteroidota; Bacteroidia; Bacteroidales; Porphyromonadaceae
Also listed under: 2 other names
Description: tRNA-Phe(gaa)
Rfam family: tRNA
About the family: Transfer RNA (tRNA) molecules are approximately 80 nucleotides in length.
Source: RNAcentral